GAGCUUUUAGACUUGCUUAAGUUACGGCAUUCUUCCAGAAUAUAUACAUCUCUUUUCAUCCUCCCAUGAUCAUUCAUCUCCUUUAAGUUUGUAAUGAAAAAGAGACCUGAAAUAGUCACCAAAUCCACAAUGCUCAAGUCACUUCACAUGUUGUUACAAUCCCUGUUUAUUCUCAUCAUUCUUUCUUCUGUAUCUUUCUUCAUCAAUGUUUGUGCUUCCUCUGUAAUUGCAUUCUCUGCUGAUGCAAAGAAUGAAGCAGCAAAAGGUGGUAUGGAAGCUGAUUCUCUUUUGAAAUGGAAAGCCAGUCUUGACAAACAAAGCCAAUCUCUUUUAUCUUCUUGGGUUGGAAGCAAUCCUUGCAAUUGGGUUGGAGUCACUUGUGAUAACUCUGGAAGCAUCACCAUUUUGAGUCUUGCUAAUUUAGGCUUAAGAGAAAUAGAAAAGGAAAUGCUCAAUCAAGUGGGGAAAAUUGUGAAGAUAUAAUGGUGACACCUGACCAUGAUAUGGAAAUACAGUAUGAAAAUAUUAUCAAGGCAACUGAAGAUUUCAACUCCAAGUAUUUCAUUGGGGCAGGUGGAUAUGGAAUCGUUUACGAAGCUCUAAUGCCAUCAGGUCGGGUGUUUGCAGUAAAGAAACUUCAUCCAUUACAAGAUGGUAACUACUCCAACUUAAAAGCUUUUGAAAGAGAGAUUCAA
This 695-nucleotide unclassified non-coding RNA is filed under the name Hevea brasiliensis (rubber tree). Lineage: Eukaryota; Viridiplantae; Streptophyta; Magnoliopsida; Malpighiales; Euphorbiaceae. The record is from RNAcentral.